This 82-nucleotide microRNA precursor is filed under the name Podarcis lilfordi (Lilford's wall lizard). The record is from RNAcentral. Lineage: Eukaryota; Metazoa; Chordata; Lepidosauria; Squamata; Lacertidae.
ACGCUCCCCAGCUGAGCUGCCCGAUCCUGCUCCUGCUUGCUCGCAAGUAGGAGUGGGAUUGGGCAGCUCAGCUGGGGAGCGU